GCUGCUCUCAUUUUGUAGAGUUCAUCACAUGUGCAUUUGCAACACAUUGGCGGAGGCAAUACGAACUGCAUUUCUCGCUAGCUGGACAAAUCGGAAUGGCAAUGCAUCUUGGAGAACAAGACUCGAAUUGUGAAAGUCUGGUGGUUUUCGCCAAGUUUCACAGAACUUUGUUUUAUGUCAAGAUGGGCUAACACCAUGUCACCUGAUGCUGUCACUCUCUGGUUGGACUGGCAUUUCACGACCUUCGGGAUCAGCCCACAUAUGGGGAGUGCUUAAUGCCUGCUUCACUUCUGCCUCGGGUCCGCCUGAUAUUGCACUAUCUUCGGGAUCGGCCCACCGUAUGAAAAAUUGUUGGUCUAUGCGCGGAUGCGAUCCGCCAGAUCCUAGCCAUAGACAGCUUUGCUGUAAAAAAAGUGGUCUAGCUCACGGCAAAUAGAGUCGAACAUAUUAAAAUGCGAAUAAAAAGAGAUGCUGUUAGGAAUGGCCGUACGGGGUGGCAACGUGCCAGCUAUUUCAGCCCGCUGCACGUGUUCCAAUCCAACCAGACGGGGUGCACUUCAGAGAACUGCGGAUAACCGGCAGCCACGUGGCGCGGGGUCAGCUCAGGAAUGUGGUACUCGGCAGUGCCACCCUUGACGGAGCAGAGUUCUACGAAGCCCUCUGACGUCGGCUCCGG
Dermacentor andersoni is the source of this 676-nucleotide long non-coding RNA. RefSeq lists it as uncharacterized. Lineage: Eukaryota; Metazoa; Arthropoda; Arachnida; Ixodida; Ixodidae. The record is from RefSeq and is a predicted model, not a curated record.